UUGUUUGUGAAUGAGGAUUUUUCGACUGCUAUGGUUUCUUACUGAGUUUUUUCGAUUUACUGAUUUUUUUCUCUUGGUGUUGUUUGGUAAUUGCUGGGAUUUUUAUUCUUGAUGGUUGCUAGUUUAGUUGAAGGUUUUAGGUUUUUGUAAAGAAAAACUAAUCUCUAGUGACUUUGUAACUCUUAUCUCAAAAAUGUUUUUUUGAAUUU
Molecule: long non-coding RNA, 209 nt
Filed under: Lathyrus oleraceus (garden pea)
Lineage: Eukaryota; Viridiplantae; Streptophyta; Magnoliopsida; Fabales; Fabaceae
Description: Pisum sativum (pea) long non-coding RNA (PSAT_LNC029962)
Source: RNAcentral